GCGCUCUUAGUUUAGUGGCAAAACAAGGGUCUCCAAAACCUUUGAUGAGGGUUCGAUUCCUUCAGAGCGCG
Molecule: transfer RNA, 71 nt
Filed under: Obscuribacter sp. (SeqCode)
Lineage: Bacteria; Bacillati; Candidatus Melainabacteria; Candidatus Obscuribacterales; Obscuribacteraceae (SeqCode)
Description: tRNA-Trp
Rfam family: tRNA
About the family: Transfer RNA (tRNA) molecules are approximately 80 nucleotides in length.
Source: RNAcentral